UGGGGAAUAUUGGGCAAUGGGCGAAAGCCUGACCCAGCAACGCCGCGUGAAGGAAGGAGGCCUUCGGGUUGUAAACUUCUUUUAGCGGGACGAGAGUAGACGGUACCUCGUGAAUAAGCCACGGCUAACUACGUGCCAGCAGCCGCGGUAAUACGUAGGGGGCAAGCGUUAUCCGGAUUUACUGGGUGUAAAGGGAGCGUAGACGGCGAAGCAAGUCUGAAGUGAAAACCCAGGGCUCAACCCUGGGACUGCUUUGGAAACUGUUUUGCUAGAGUGUCGGAGAGGUAAGUGGAAUUCCUAGUGUAGCGGUGAAAUGCGUAGAUAUUAGGAGGAACACCAGUGGCGAAGGCGGCUUACUGGACGAUAACUGACGUUGAGGCUCGAAAGCGUGGGGAGCAAACAGGAUUAGAUACCCUGGUAGU
This 422-nucleotide ribosomal RNA is filed under the name uncultured Clostridium sp. RNAcentral describes it as "bacterial SSU rRNA". It matches the Rfam family "Bacterial small subunit ribosomal RNA", at positions 355 to 794 of the family's 1533-position model. Lineage: Bacteria; Bacillati; Bacillota; Clostridia; Eubacteriales; Clostridiaceae. The record is from RNAcentral.